GACGAACGCUGGCGGCGUGCUUAACACAUGCAAGUCGAACGGAAAGGCCCUGCUUUUGUGGGGUGCUCGAGUGGCGAACGGGUGAGUAACACGUGGGUAACCUGCCCUUGACUUUGGGAUAACUUCAGGAAACUGGGGCUAAUACCGGAUAGGAGCUCCUGCUGCAUGGUGGGGGUUGGAAAGUUUCGGCGGUUGGGGAUGGACUCGCGGCUUAUCAGCUUGUUGGUGGGGUAGUGGCUUACCAAGGCUUUGACGGGUGGCCGGCCUGAGAGGGUGACCGGCCACAUUGGGACUGAGAUACGGACCAGACUCCUACGGGAGGCAGCAGUGGGGAAUAUUGCACAAUGGGCGGAAGCCUGAUGCAGCAACGCCGCGUGCGGGAUGACGGCCUUCGGGUUGUAAACCGCUUUCGCCUGUGACGAAGCGUGAGUGACGGUAAUGGGUAAAGAAGCACCGGCUAACUACGUG
Molecule: ribosomal RNA, 468 nt
Filed under: uncultured bacterium
Lineage: Bacteria
Description: partial 16S ribosomal RNA
Rfam family: Bacterial small subunit ribosomal RNA
Source: RNAcentral